This 521-nucleotide ribosomal RNA is filed under the name uncultured Glomeraceae. Its description in RNAcentral is "SSU rRNA". It matches the Rfam family "Eukaryotic small subunit ribosomal RNA", at positions 569 to 1092 of the family's 1831-position model. Lineage: Eukaryota; Fungi; Glomeromycota; Glomeromycetes; Glomerales; Glomeraceae. The record is from RNAcentral.
AGCAGCCGCGGUAAUUCCAGCUCCAAUAGCGUAUAUUAAAGUUGUUGCAGUUAAAAAGCUCGUAGUUGAAUUUCGGGAUCAAUAUAUCGGUCAUGCUUAGGUAUGUACUGGUAUUAUUGAUUUCUCCCUUCUGAAGAACCAUGAUGUCAUUAAUUUGAUGUCGUGGGGAAUCAGGACUGUUACUUUGAAAAAAUUAGAGUGUUUAAAGCAGGCAUACGCUUGAAUACAUUAGCAUGGAAUAAUGAAAUAGGACGUUUGAUUCUAUUUUGUUGGUUUCUAGGAUCGACGUAAUGAUUAAUAGGGAUAGUUGGGGGCAUUAGUAUUCAAUUGUCAGAGGUGAAAUUCUUGGAUUUAUUGAAGACUAACUACUGCGAAAGCAUUUGCCAAGGAUGUUUUCAUUAAUCAAGAACGAAAGUUAGGGGAUCGAAGACGAUCAGAUACCGUCGUAGUCUUAACCAUAAACUAUGCCGACUAGGGAUCGGAUGAUGUUAAUUUUUUAAUGACUCAUUCGGCGCCUUACG